AGAAUAAUGGAGACAAAGAGAAUAUUAUAUUCAACUCUUGUUGUUGUCCUGUUGAACAUGAGUCUUGUUGUAACAAGUAAAGAACAAGCUGACAGUGUACAGCUUAGGCUUAAUAAUCCUGAAUUAGAUCUUCUCUUGUCCCUGAUUCAAUUAGAAAUUGACAACAAACCUGAAAUGCCAGGGUCAAGUGACGAGAUUCUACCACAAAAGAAAUGGAGUCGACCUCAACACAGAAUAUCUCGUCAAUACUUGCUUCAACUUCUAAGAUCCCGAGGCUACCAUGUUAGACUGAAUGGGAAACGAGAUAAUUAACAAUUAUUUGUGUAGUUUUUGUAAAUAUUUUUUUUAUUGUUUAUGUAAUACAUCACUUUUAUAGAAUGUUUUUUUUAAAGAUUGCCACAAUAUCGAAGGGAACAUUUCAUCUGAUUUUUUACUCUAUUUUACGACUCUUUUUUUGUUAAAACGACCAAUGUCAUGAGUGCACGAAGACAAGUUGAUAUUCAACUUAUGUUUAUUUAAAAUUAUUAAAGGAAAUGAAAACGUU
Mytilus californianus (California mussel) is the source of this 544-nucleotide long non-coding RNA. RefSeq lists it as uncharacterized. Lineage: Eukaryota; Metazoa; Mollusca; Bivalvia; Mytilida; Mytilidae. The transcript is spliced from 2 exons. The record is from RefSeq and is a predicted model, not a curated record.